GAUGAACGCUGGCGGCGUGCUUAACACAUGCAAGUCGAACGGAAAGGCCCUGCUUUUGCGGGGUGCUCGAGUGGCGCACGGGUGAGUAACACGUGAGUAACACGCCCCUGACUUUGGGAUAACUCCAGGAAACUGGGGCGAAUACCGGGUAGGAGCUCCUGAUGCACGGGGGGGGAUGGAGAGUUUCGGCGGUUGGGGCUGGAUUCGAGGCUUAUCCGCUUGUUGGUGGGGUAGUGGCUUACCCAGGCUAUGACGGGUAGCCGGCCUGAGAGGGUGACCGGCCACAUUGGGACUGAGGUACGGCCCAGACUCCUACGGGAGGCAGCAGUGGGAAAUAUUGCACAAUGGGCGGAAGCCUGAUGCAGCAACGCCGCGUGCGGGAUGACGGCCUUCGGGUUGUAAACCGCUUUCGCCUGUGACGAAGCGUGAGUGACGGUAAUGGGUAAAGAAGCACCGGCUAACUACGUG
This 468-nucleotide ribosomal RNA is filed under the name uncultured bacterium. Its description in RNAcentral is "partial 16S ribosomal RNA". It matches the Rfam family "Bacterial small subunit ribosomal RNA", at positions 28 to 507 of the family's 1533-position model. The record is from RNAcentral.